UCUUAUUCACCCAAGUUUUUUUUUUGAAUUGUUGAAAAGGAUUGGUGAAUCUAGCAUCGAUCUCAGAAAUAGAGAGGACUUUUUAUUCUUUUUGUACCUUUUAAAGAUCCCGAAGAGCUUCCCAAGUGGAACUAUGAUGGAUGUAGCAUAUGCCAUGCUCAUGGAGAAAAGUGUUAAUUGAUCAUAUUGAUCUGGUUUGCUGGAUAGGGACAGCUCGGAAUGUGGACCACCAUUGUAUGCAUCUCCUAAUUCACGUAUUCAACUUAGUCACAUAUAGCCACAGGUUCAGUUGGAUGCUAUUUUGUGCGGUAUUGGAACUACACUUGGAGAACUUCCUCUAUAUUUCAUAUCUAGGACUGGUACCAUGGUUCCUGCAAUCAAGAUGGGGCGGCGGAAGAGAGCAACAAGUGGCAACGUAUUUUCAGCCUCUGAAGCAUGUCCACGUUCUCUGAUAAGACGCAGCCACCAGAUGAUACGCAAACAAUGGUGGAGGAGACGCAGCUAGGUGGCGUGGGGCAAAAAAGGUCAACUCGUGUACGAGGACCUACAUUAGGCAAAGGAGUACAAAAAAAAAUACCUCGGAAAAAGGAAGAGAAAUUACAUGUGUAUGUCAAUCGAGCGUUGAAUGCAAUCACAGGAGGGAACGGCACCCCAGCGACGAAUGAGUUGGGAUUGCAAAUUAGACGGUUGUGCCCUCUUCAGAGCGUGAAGUCAUGGAGAAAAAUCGAUCAAAGUACCAAAGAUGCGGUCGUUCAAGCGGUGCUAAUAGGAGAUUCAUCUUGCCAUAAAUUAAUUGUAAUUGC
Non-coding RNA from Camellia sinensis, 803 nucleotides. NCBI's taxonomy places the organism in Eukaryota, Viridiplantae, Streptophyta, Magnoliopsida, Ericales, Theaceae. The record is from RefSeq and is a predicted model, not a curated record.